RNAcentral lists this ribosomal RNA (500 nucleotides) under uncultured bacterium. RNAcentral describes it as "partial 16S ribosomal RNA". It matches the Rfam family "Bacterial small subunit ribosomal RNA", at positions 30 to 523 of the family's 1533-position model. The record is from RNAcentral.
AUUGAACGCUGGCGGAAUGCUUUACACAUGCAAGUCGAACGGCAGCACGGACUUCGGUCUGGUGGCGAGUGGCGAACGGGUGAGUAAUACAUCGGAACGUGCCCAGUCGUGGGGGAUAACGUAGCGAAAGCUACGCUAAUACCGCAUACGAUCUAAGGAUGAAAGCGGGGGACCGUAAGGCCUCGCGCGAUUGGAGCGGCCGAUGGCAGAUUAGGUAGUUGGUGGGGUAAAGGCUCACCAAGCCGACGAUCUGUAGCUGGUCUGAGAGGACGACAAGCCACACUGGGACUGAGACACGGCCCAGACUCCUACGGGAGGCAGCAGUGGGGAAUUUUGGACAAUGGGGGAAACCCUGAUCCAGCCAUUCCGCGUGUGCGAUGAAGGCCUUCGGGUUGUAAAGCACUGUUGGCAGGAAAGAAAUCGCAUCAAUUAAUACUUGGUGUGGAUGACGGUACCUGCAGAAUAAGCACCGGCUAACUACGUGCCAGCAGCCGCCGUAA